Molecule: unclassified non-coding RNA, 348 nt
Filed under: soil metagenome
Description: partial contains 5.8S ribosomal RNA, internal transcribed spacer 2, and large subunit ribosomal RNA
Rfam family: 5.8S ribosomal RNA (bases 1-120)
Source: RNAcentral
GAUGAAGAACGUAGCGAACUGCGAUAAGUAAUGUGAAUUGCAGAAUUCAGUGAAUCAUCGAGUCUUUGAACGCACAUUGCGCCCCCUGGCAUUCCGGGGGGCAUGCCUGUCCGAGCGUCAUUGCUGCCAUUCAAGCCCGGCUUGUGUGUUGGGUCGUCGUCCCCCCCGGGGGACGGGCCCGAAAGGCAGCGGCGACACCGCGUCCGGUCCUCGAGCGUAUGGGGCUUUGUCACCCGCUCGAUUAGGGCCGGCCGGGCGCCAGCCGGCGUCUCCAACCUUCUAUUUUACCAGGUUGACCUCGGAUCAGGUAGGGAUACCCGCUGAACUUAAGCAUAUCAAUAAGGAGGA